Triplophysa dalaica is the source of this 99-nucleotide small nucleolar RNA. RefSeq annotates it as Z30 small nucleolar RNA. The transcript has a single exon. The record is from RefSeq and is a predicted model, not a curated record. NCBI's taxonomy places the organism in Eukaryota, Metazoa, Chordata, Actinopteri, Cypriniformes, Nemacheilidae.
CUGUGCUGAUGAGCAGCGAUUGUAUCCGACCUGGUAUUGCCGUUUCUCCGGGAACAGCUCUGACCAGGGUCUGAGGACAGUAAUCUUCUCUCUGAGCAG